GGAGGGAUGGCUGAGAGGCUUAAAGCGCUGGUUUCGAAAGCCAGUUGGCACUCUGUGCCACGAGAGUUCGAAUCUCUCUCCCUCCGCCA
RNAcentral lists this transfer RNA (89 nucleotides) under Vibrio coralliirubri. RNAcentral describes it as "tRNA-Ser". It matches the Rfam family "tRNA". Rfam says of the family: Transfer RNA (tRNA) molecules are approximately 80 nucleotides in length. Lineage: Bacteria; Pseudomonadati; Pseudomonadota; Gammaproteobacteria; Vibrionales; Vibrionaceae. The record is from RNAcentral.